This 2272-nucleotide ribosomal RNA is filed under the name Diogmites grossus. Its description in RNAcentral is "eukaryotic LSU rRNA". It matches the Rfam family "Eukaryotic large subunit ribosomal RNA", at positions 44 to 1897 of the family's 3401-position model. Lineage: Eukaryota; Metazoa; Arthropoda; Insecta; Diptera; Asilidae. The record is from RNAcentral.
UAAUGAGGGAAGGAAAAGAAACUAACUAGGAUUUUUUUAGUAGCGGCGAGCGAAAAGAAAUCAAGUUCAGCACUGAGUUAUUUUGUUAUAUGAACAAAUAUAAGAUGCAGUGUAUGGAAUAUCUAUAAUCUAGUAUGAUAAAUUAACAGUCUAAGUCCUUCUUAAAUGAGGCCAUUUACCCAUAGAGGGUGCCAGGCCCGUAAGGACGUUAAUGAUUACUAGAAGAUAUUUCUUAAGAGUCGUGUUGCUUGAUAGUGCAGCACUAAUAUGGUGGUAAACUCCAUCUAAAACUAAAUAUAACCAUGAGACCGAUAGCAAACAAGUACCGUGAGGGAAAGUUGAAAAGAACUCUGAAUAGAGAGUUAAAUAGUACGUGAAACUGCUUAGAGGUUAAACCCGAUGAACCUGAAUAUCCAAUAUGAAAAAUUCAUCAUUAAUAUUAUAUUAAUAUAAUUAAUAUAAAAAUAAUGUGCAAUUUUUUCAUAUAAGGACAUUGUAAUCUGUUAAUAUAUAUUAAAAAAAAAAAUAAAAUAAAUUUAUCAUAAGUGCCGUUUGGAUCAGUUUAUAUAUUAUUAUAUUUUUUUUUAAAUAUAAUAUAUAUAAAAUCCAAUUUAAAUACGGUUACAGAUAAAUUAUUGACAGAUUUUAAAAUAUGACGCUUACAUAUAUUUAUGUUAUAAUAAUAUAGUAAUCAUGUAUUAUUAUAUUUAAUUUAUAUGCGUUCAUAUGAUUAACAAUGCUAUAGAUUUAGGAUACCUUCGGGACCCGUCUUGAAACACGGACCAAGGAGUCUAACAUGUACCCAAGCCAUUGGGCUAAUAAAAAAACCUAAAGGCAUAAUUAACUUAACUUUUUUAAAAAAAUAUGGGAUCAAUUAUAUAUAUAAUUUAUAAAUAUAUAAAUAUAUAAUAUUCCAUCCCGGGGCGUUCUAUAUAGUUAUGCAUUUUAAUAUAUUUUUAUAUAUAUUAUAUAUGUCUCUAACUAGAGCGUACCUUGAGUAUAUAUGUUGUGACCCGAAAGAUGGUGAACUAUACCUGAUCAGGUUGAAGUCAGGGGAAACCCUGAUGGAAGACCGAAACAGUUCUGACGUGCAAAUCGAUUGUCAGAAUUGGGUAUAGGGGCGAAAGACCGAUCGAACCAUCUAGUAGCUGGUUCCUUCCGAAGUUUCCCUCAGGAUAGCUGGUGCAUUUAAAUUUUAUUAAAAAAUAAUCUUAUCUGGUAAAGCGAAUGAUUAGAGGCCUUAGGGCCGAAACGACCUUAACCUAUUCUCAAACUUUAAAUGGGUAAGAACCUCACCUUUCUUGAUAUGAAGGUGAUAGGUUAUGAUAUAUUGUGCCCAGUGGGCCACUUUUGGUAAGCAGAACUGGCGCUGUGGGAUGAACCAAACGUGAUGUUACGGCGCCCAAAUUAACAACUCAUACUGAUACCAUGAAAGGCGUUGCUUGCUUAAAACAGCAGGACGGUGGACAUGGAAGUCGUAAUCCGCUAAGGAGUGUGUAACAACUCACCUGCCGAAGCAACUAGCCCUUAAAAUGGAUGGCGCUCAAGUUGUAUGCCUAUACAUCACCGCUAAAGUAUAUGAUUUAUUAAAAAAUAUACAAAAAAAAUUUAUAUAAAUUUUGAAACUCUAGUGAGUAGGAAGGUACAAUGGUGUGCGUUGAAGUGUUUGGCGUAAGCCUGCAUGGAGCCGCCAUUGGUACAGAUCUUGGUGGUAGUAGCAAAUAAUCGAAUGAGACCUUGGAGGACUGAAGUGGAGAAGGGUUUCGUGUGAACAGUGGUUGAUCACGAGUUAGUCGGUCCUAAGUUCAAGGCGAAAGCCGAAAAAUUAUUAAGUAAAUGAAAAUAAAUUAAAAAUUAUGAAAUAAAUAUAAAAUAAAAUAUAUAUAAAUAUAUAUAAAUAUAAAUAAAUAUUAAUUAUUAUACUUACAAUAUUUGAACGAAAGGGAAUACGGUUCCAAUUCCGUAACCUGUUGAGUAUACGUUUGUAAUUAAAAAUGGGCUUUUAUGCUCAUCCUGGUAACAGAAACAACCAUAAAGAAGCCGUCGAGAAAUAUCGAAAGAGUUUUCUUUUCUGUUUUAUAGUCGUACUACCAUGGAAGUCUUUCGAAGAGAGAUAUGGUAGAUGGACUAGAAGAGCAUGGCAUUUACUGCUGUGUCGAUAUUUUCUCCUCGGACCUUGAAAAUUUAUGGUAGGGUAACGCAAACUUCUUAACAGGCCGUACCGAUAUCCGCAGCUGGUCUCCAAGGUGAAGAGUCUCUAGUCGAUAGAAUA